UCCGAUAUCUGCCAGAACCUUCUUGCACCGUGGAUCAGGCUUGGCCGGCAUGAAGAAAAGCGGGUUAGCGUAGCGAACGACGGAGUGUAUGCCGGCGUUCUCGCUGCAAAGCACCUCCGAUUUAUCCAGACUCGGCACCGUCUCCUUGCAAUCCUCCCUAGGGCUCUUCACCACCGUCACGUCGCAGAUCGCUUCCUCGUGAUCCCCCUCUACCACCAGCGAGUAGUUCCCGUUCGCCGCCGUCGUCACCUCCUCCGUGUACGUUUCUUUCUCCGUUUUCAGGUUCUUGCAAUCCAGCCGCACAACCGCGCCUGCACGCAAUCGCAGGUACUUGUCGCAGUAGACUCUGCCUUCCACCGUGAAUUUCUCGCCGGGUUUGCCGGCGGCGAAGCCGGCAAAGGCUAAGAAGCAGAUGGCGGCAGAGACGAGUGCAAUGGUAGCCUUUGCCAUUUAAUUUGUGUGUUUUAAUUUAAUUAUAUUUUAUGGAUAUAAACGAAACAACACGAAGGUGGGCAUUUUGUAGGUGGAGAAUGUGGUUAUGGGAGGGUGGUUUAGCGCAGAUUUCUCCGGGCAGUGAAAAAGUGAUCACCAUUUAUGAGGAAUUGAAGCUACAGAUGAUUGACUCAUCAUUCCUUGGGUUUUAGGGAGAGAAUGAUAAAAUUAAACAGUAAUGAAUAUGUGUAAUAUAUAAUUUGGUUUAUAGAAUAUGUGUAAUAUAGAAAAGUAUUUCGUAUU
Molecule: long non-coding RNA, 735 nt
Organism: Ipomoea nil (Japanese morning glory)
Lineage: Eukaryota; Viridiplantae; Streptophyta; Magnoliopsida; Solanales; Convolvulaceae
Exons: 2
Source: RefSeq, a predicted model, not a curated record